UGGAACAAUGGCGAUGGAGUACCGCCAAAACCGCCCAAACAGGCUGAUGACUCCUACGAUUUU
Non-coding RNA from Pedobacter ginsenosidimutans, 63 nucleotides. Lineage: Bacteria; Pseudomonadati; Bacteroidota; Sphingobacteriia; Sphingobacteriales; Sphingobacteriaceae. The record is from Rfam.